This 501-nucleotide ribosomal RNA is filed under the name uncultured bacterium. Its description in RNAcentral is "partial 16S ribosomal RNA". It matches the Rfam family "Bacterial small subunit ribosomal RNA", at positions 899 to 1397 of the family's 1533-position model. The record is from RNAcentral.
ACUCAAAUGAAUAGACGGGGGCCCGCACAAGCGGUGGAGCAUGUGGUUCAAUUCGAAGCAACGCGCAGAACCUUACCAGCCUUUGACAUGCCGGUCGCGAGUACCAGAGAUGGAACUCUUCAGUUCGGCUGGACCGGACACAGGUGCUGCAUGGCUGUCGUCAGCUCGUGUCGUGAGAUGUUGGGUUAAGUCCCGCAACGAGCGCAACCCUCGCCCUUAGUUGCCAUCAUUCAGUUGGGCACUCUAAGGGGACUGCCGGUGAUAAGCCGCGAGGAAGGUGGGGAUGACGUCAAGUCCUCAUGGCCCUUACAGGCUGGGCUACACACGUGCUACAAUGGCGGUGACAGUGGGACGCAAUGGAGCAAUCCUGCGCAAAUCUCAAAAAGCCGUCUCAGUUCGGAUUGGGCUCUGCAACUCGAGCCCAUGAAGUUGGAAUCGCUAGUAAUCGCAGAUCAGCACGCUGCGGUGAAUACGUUCCCGGGCCUUGUACACACCGCCCGU